CAAACACCCACUUGUUUUCAAGGGACGUCUGGCAAGCGCAUUGGCCUGGCCUGACAUAAGACUUAGCCCAGGUACUGGAUCACUUCCUGGAAGAUCACUUCACGCAAGAUGGAUCCUCUCGGCUACCUUCUUCUUUGACUGGCAGAAAGAUGCAGGCGACGAGCAGUGUGAAAUCAUGAGUAACCCUGAAUCGGAUGACUCAUACUCGGCUCUGCCGGAGAGCAUGGCUUUUGGCUGUCUAGGAAAGGAUGCUAAUGAAACCAUGCCUGUCUCUCCAGCACACAUCAAUAUCUGUAGCAAGGUAGAUGCUACAGAAGUGGGCACGGGGCUACCAGUGGAAGCAAAGAUGGACGGACGCUACACUGCCUCCUGCCCUCAAGACCUACCUGCAGACGAGAAUUGGGCAAUGGCAGCGAUGCCUAUUGUCUCCCUAACCAAGAAAGCAGCAGCAUGUGUUCUGCUUGAACUAAGCCUGUUCACCAUGUGUCCACACUGCAAAAUGCAUCAAAGAUGUCACCCUUGUGGAAAAUCUCUUCCGUGCCUUCAGCCCUGUCUUAUUCCCUCCUGUGACAUGACAGGUUGAAAUUAACAUUGUAACCUUCCUAGGUAGAUGUCUGUCUCACCCAUCACUGAGGCCGGAAAGGCUAAGCUCAGGGUCACAGGGGGCUGGCACAUUUCCCAGGAAGGGAUGCGGCAGGCUAAUGGAGUACAGGGAGACGGAAGAUGAAUCUUCUGGCUGUGAAGCAGCAGAUGUUUUGUGCCCCUGCCCUUUCCCUGUUUUCAGGCUCCUACUCUGGGUACCACAUUGUCUCAGGAGCCACGUCUGGCGGAUGGUACGAGAAGCUGCCCUUCUGUAUGCACAGCACAUGCAUGGUUUCCAUGGGAACAUCUCAGAAGGAGGAUGCUACGUUUCCAGCUCCUGGUGCCUUUGGCUAAACAAUAGUAUUGGAUGUUGCUGAGAAGUCCAGAACCUUCCUUCUGCCUCUUCUAAUGCUAUCUCUAAGCACCCCCUCA
This 1014-nucleotide long non-coding RNA is filed under the name Meriones unguiculatus (Mongolian gerbil). RNAcentral's name for it is "lncRNA (ENSMUGG00000023031.1)". Lineage: Eukaryota; Metazoa; Chordata; Mammalia; Rodentia; Muridae. The record is from RNAcentral.